RNAcentral lists this ribosomal RNA (923 nucleotides) under Triticum aestivum (bread wheat). Its description in RNAcentral is "partial small subunit ribosomal RNA". Lineage: Eukaryota; Viridiplantae; Streptophyta; Magnoliopsida; Poales; Poaceae. The record is from RNAcentral.
AAGCAUCGCGGGAAUUACCCCGUCCGAUCCCCGGAGGCGACGCAGCGUCUGGAUCGUUCACACACACAUGCACGACUUCUUCAGCUAAUGGCGGCUUGUGCUAUGCGGGCCUAUAUAUCUUGCCUCCCGCCAUUUCCUGUUCCUCACGUUCGCGCGCGCUAGCUGCAGCCUCUCACUCGCCACCAUUGUUGUUUGUUCCACAGGGAUGAAGGAUGAUCGAUGCGCCAAGCUGGUUGGGAUCACUAGGUGUGGCAACUUUUGUAGGAAGUUAUUAUGGAUUUUCUACUUCUUACACUGGUUAAUUGAUGGUCUCUGCAUUUUCUCGACGCAGGAGCGCUACGAAGACGAUCAGCCAUAUAUAUGGCAGUACUGUAUAUCCUCUAGGCCGUUAAUGUUACCGGAGAGAUUGUAUACAGGAUUGACUGGGCGGAAUGCUGAUCUGACCAAAAUGUCUAAGAGCCUGCUCUGAAAAACAGCUCAACAAUCUGGAAUAAUUGGCCCUAGCAAGCGAAGAAAAGAUCUAACAAAACUUACCUCGUGAUUUGGGCAUUUCACUUAGUCGAGAUUGUCGACCUUUGACUUGAAAUUCCAGAGGGCAGUCAUGGCACUUCAUCAAUGGUACUUGUGGAUUGAACGAGGAGGACGAUGCUCCCAAGUCCCAAGCUAUCAAUCAUGGUCAAUAGUGGGAGUAGAGGCCCGACAAAGAAGAGGAGAAAACAGAGUCAUUUUGAAGCCUUUAGGAUUGUAGAUCAAAACAUUUAACCGAUACAGGUGGGAAGGAUUUACGCCAAAACCAGAUGGCGGACGUGGUGUCACUAAAAAUGUCUGCACAAUUUGACACCUAGCUAUAUGUGUGCUCGUGACUAAAAUGAGUCACCUAUGUACUCCCUAUUAUGUUGCAUACUCUCUUCGUUUUUAUUUAC